RNAcentral lists this ribosomal RNA (402 nucleotides) under uncultured Rickettsiales bacterium. RNAcentral describes it as "bacterial SSU rRNA". It matches the Rfam family "Bacterial small subunit ribosomal RNA", at positions 353 to 772 of the family's 1533-position model. Lineage: Bacteria; Pseudomonadati; Pseudomonadota; Alphaproteobacteria; Rickettsiales. The record is from RNAcentral.
AGUGGGGAAUAUUGGACAAUGGGCGAAAGCCUGAUCCAGCAACGCCGCGUGAGUGAUGAAGGCCUUCGGGUUGUAAAACUCUUUCAGUAGGGAAGAUAAUGACGGUACCUACAGAAGAAGCUCCGGCUAACUUCGUGCCAGCAGCCGCGGUAAUACGAAGGGAGCUAGCGUUACUCGGAAUUAUUGGGCGUAAAGCGUGCGUAGGCGGUUUUAACAGUCGGAAGUGAAAGCCUGAGGCUCAACCUCAGAAUUGCUUUCGAUACUAUAAAACUUGAGUAUUAGAGGGGAUAGCGGAAUUCUUAGUGUAGAGGUGAAAUUCGUAGAUAUUAAGAGGAACACCGGUGGCGAAGGCGGCUAUCUGGCUAAAUACUGACGCUGUUGCACGAAAGCGUGGGGAGCAAA